UUUCCGUAGGUGAACCUGCGGAAGGAUCAUUACACGAUAGUACAGGCCCUAAGCUGUAGCAAUACAGCCCAUGGGCUCAUGUCUAUUACCCUUGUUUUUUGAGUACCUAUGUUUCCUUGGUGGGCUUGCCCACCAAUUGGACACCCUAUUAAACCUUUUUUUAAUUUUCAAUCAGCGUCUGAAUAAACCUAAUAAUUACAACUUUCAACAACGGAUCUCUUGGUUCUG
Molecule: unclassified non-coding RNA, 228 nt
Filed under: soil metagenome
Description: partial contains small subunit ribosomal RNA, internal transcribed spacer 1, and 5.8S ribosomal RNA
Source: RNAcentral